GGCGUCGUGGACGAGGGGCGUGUCGGGGAUCGUGAUCCCGGCGAUGGUCUCGGGCAUGGGAACUCCUCGCGUUCGAACGGUGCCGGCCCUCC
This 92-nucleotide transfer RNA is filed under the name Microbispora rosea subsp. aerata. Its description in RNAcentral is "tRNA-Thr". Lineage: Bacteria; Bacillati; Actinomycetota; Actinomycetes; Streptosporangiales; Streptosporangiaceae. The record is from RNAcentral.